Molecule: ribosomal RNA, 422 nt
Filed under: uncultured cyanobacterium
Lineage: Bacteria; Bacillati; Cyanobacteriota
Description: bacterial SSU rRNA
Rfam family: Bacterial small subunit ribosomal RNA
Source: RNAcentral
GGAAUUUUCCGCAAUGGGCGAAAGCCUGACGGAGCAACGCCGCGUGAGGGAUGAAGGCCUCUGGGCUGUAAACCUCUUUUAUCAAGGAAGAAGAUCUGACGGUACUUGAUGAAUAAGCCACGGCUAAUUCCGUGCCAGCAGCCGCGGUAAUACGGGAGUGGCAAGCGUUAUCCGGAGUUAUUGGGCGUAAAGCGUCCGCAGGCGGCCCAUCAAGUCUGCUGUUAAAAAGUGGAGCUUAACUCCAUCAUGGCAGUGGAAACUGUUGGGCUAGAGUGUGGUAGGGGCAGAGGGAAUUCCCGGUGUAGCGGUGAAAUGCGUAGAUAUCGGGAAGAACACCAGUGGCGAAGGCGCUCUGCUGGGCCAUAACUGACGCUCAUGGACGAAAGCCAGGGGAGCGAAAGGGAUUAGAUACCCCUGUAGUC